This 484-nucleotide ribosomal RNA is filed under the name uncultured bacterium. Its description in RNAcentral is "partial 16S ribosomal RNA". It matches the Rfam family "Bacterial small subunit ribosomal RNA", at positions 30 to 507 of the family's 1533-position model. The record is from RNAcentral.
AUUGAACGCUGGCGGCAGGCCUAACACAUGCAAGUCGAGCGGAUGAAGGGAGCUUGCUCCUGGAUCCAGCGGCGGACGGGGGAGUAAUGCCUAGGAAUCUGCCUGGUAGUGGGGGAUAACGUCCGGAAACGGGCGCUAAUACCGCAUACGUCCUGAGGGAGAAAGUGGGGGAGCUUCGGACAUCACGCUAUCAGAUGAGCCUAGGUCGGAUUAGCUAGUUGGUGGGGUAAAGGCCUACCAAGGCGACGAUCCGUAACUGGUCUGAGAGGAUGAUCAGUCACACUGGAACUGAGACACGGUCCAGACUCCUACGGGAGGCAGCAGUGGGGAAUGUUGGACAAUGGGCGGAAGCAUGAUCCAGCCAUGCCGCGUGUGUGAAGAAGGUCUUCGGAUUGUAAAGCACUUUAAGGUGGGAGGAAGGGCAGUAAGUUAAUACCUUGCUGUUUUGACGUUACCAACAGAAUAAGCACCGGCUAACUUCGUG